UCCCUGGUAGCUUAGAUGGGAAAGAAUCUGCCUGCAGUGCAGGAGACCCAGGUUCAAACCCUGGGUUGGGAA
RNAcentral lists this transfer RNA (72 nucleotides) under Bos taurus (domestic cattle). It matches the Rfam family "tRNA". Rfam says of the family: Transfer RNA (tRNA) molecules are approximately 80 nucleotides in length. Their secondary structure includes four short double-helical elements and three loops (D, anti-codon, and T loops). Further hydrogen bonds mediate the characteristic L-shaped molecular structure. tRNAs have two regions of fundamental functional importance: the anti-codon, which is responsible for specific mRNA codon recognition, and the 3' end, to which the tRNAs corresponding amino acid is attached (by aminoacyl-tRNA synthetases). tRNAs cope with the degeneracy of the genetic code in two manners: having more than one tRNA (with a specific anti-codon) for a particular amino acid; and 'wobble' base-pairing, i.e. permitting non-standard base-pairing at the 3rd anti-codon position. Lineage: Eukaryota; Metazoa; Chordata; Mammalia; Artiodactyla; Bovidae. RNAcentral also lists the same sequence under 2 other names. The record is from Rfam by way of RNAcentral.